UUCUAGCGCCACACCACCCGGAACAAGCCCCAAUGCACCAGAUCGCGUCUGAUCCCGGAAGCUAAGCAGGGUUGAGUCUGGGUAGUACUUGUGUGGGAGAUAGCCUGGGAAUACCGGGUGCUGUAGGCU
RNAcentral lists this ribosomal RNA (129 nucleotides) under Saimiri boliviensis boliviensis (Bolivian squirrel monkey). Lineage: Eukaryota; Metazoa; Chordata; Mammalia; Primates; Cebidae. The record is from RNAcentral.